RNAcentral lists this ribosomal RNA (417 nucleotides) under uncultured delta proteobacterium. RNAcentral describes it as "bacterial SSU rRNA". It matches the Rfam family "Bacterial small subunit ribosomal RNA", at positions 370 to 779 of the family's 1533-position model. Lineage: Bacteria; Deltaproteobacteria. The record is from RNAcentral.
AAUGGACGAAAGUCUGACGCAGCAACGCCGCGUGAGUGAAGAAGGCCCUUGGGUUGUAAAGCUUUGUCAAGAGGGACGAAAACCAGUAGGUUCAUAGCCUAUUGGUCUGACGGUACCUCUGAAGGAAGCACCGGCUAACUCCGUGCCAGCAGCCGCGGUAAUACGGAGGGUGCAAGCGUUGCUCGGAAUUACUGGGCGUAAAGGGGAGGCAGGUGGUCUCGUAUGUCUGGAGUGAAAUCCCGGGGCUUAACCCCGGAAAUGCUUUGGAAACGGCGAGACUAGAGUUCUAGAGAGGGUCGCGGAAUUCCCGGUGUAGCGGUGAAAUGCGUAGAGAUCGGGAGGAACACCAGAUGCGAAGGCGGCGGCCUGGAUAGAUACUGACACUCAACUCCGACAGCGUGGGUAGCAAACAGGAUU